Molecule: ribosomal RNA, 253 nt
Filed under: uncultured bacterium
Lineage: Bacteria
Description: partial 16S ribosomal RNA
Rfam family: Bacterial small subunit ribosomal RNA
Source: RNAcentral
UACGUAGGGACCAAGCGUUGUUCGGAUUUACUGGGCGUAAAGGGCGCGUAGGCGGCUUGACAAGUCACUUGUGAAAUCUCCGGGCUUAACUCGGAACGGCCAAGUGAAACUGUCAUGCUAGAGUACAGAAGGGGCAAUCGGAAUUCUUGGUGUAGCGGUGAAAUGCGUAGAUAUCAAGAGGAACACCUGAGGUGAAGACGGGUUGCUGGGCUGACACUGACGCUGAGGCGCGAAAGCCAGGGGAGCAAACGGG